Molecule: ribosomal RNA, 433 nt
Filed under: uncultured bacterium
Lineage: Bacteria
Description: partial 16S ribosomal RNA
Rfam family: Bacterial small subunit ribosomal RNA
Source: RNAcentral
AACGAACGCUGGCGGCAUGCCUAACACAUGCAAGUCGAACGAGACCUUCGGGUCUAGUGGCGCACGGGUGCGUAACACGUGGGAAUCUGCCCUUUGCUUCGGAAUAACAGUUAGAAAUGACUGCUAAUACCGGAUGAUGUCGAAAGACCAAAGAUUUAUCGGCAAAGGAUGAGCCCGCGUAGGAUUAGGUAGCUGGUGGGGUAAAGGCCUACCAAGCCGACGAUCCUUAGCUGGUCUGAGAGGAUGAUCAGCCACACUGGGACUGAGACACGGCCCAGACUCCUACGGGAGGCAGCAGUGGGGAAUAUUGGACAAUGGGCGAAAGCCUGAUCCAGCAAUGCCGCGUGAGUGAUGAAGGCCUUAGGGUUGUAAAGCUCUUUUACCAGGGAUGAUAAUGACAGUACCUGGAGAAUAAGCUCCGGCUAACUCCGUG